This 76-nucleotide small RNA is filed under the name Xanthomonas vesicatoria. Its description in RNAcentral is "sX9". It matches the Rfam family "Xanthomonas sRNA sX9". The record is from RNAcentral. Lineage: Bacteria; Pseudomonadati; Pseudomonadota; Gammaproteobacteria; Lysobacterales; Lysobacteraceae.
AGGUGUCGCUCGUAAACUGCGGUUCCUCCGCGCUGUCCGCACCCAGCUGACGACCGCUCGCUAUCGGUUCUCAGCC